Podarcis lilfordi (Lilford's wall lizard) is the source of this 73-nucleotide non-coding RNA. NCBI's taxonomy places the organism in Eukaryota, Metazoa, Chordata, Lepidosauria, Squamata, Lacertidae. The record is from the annotation of a GenBank genome assembly.
GCCUUGAUAGCUCAGUUGGUUAGAGUGUGGUGCUAACACACCAAGGUUGCAGGAUUGAUCCCCUUAUGGGACA